Long non-coding RNA from Neofelis nebulosa (Clouded leopard), 688 nucleotides. RefSeq lists it as uncharacterized. The transcript is spliced from 4 exons. Lineage: Eukaryota; Metazoa; Chordata; Mammalia; Carnivora; Felidae. The record is from RefSeq and is a predicted model, not a curated record.
CACUUCUGCCAGCGAAGGACUCUCCAUUUUUCCAGAGGUCAAAGCAAAAGCACUUAGAAUCUCAUGAUUUAAGGAACCUCAGAGAUUGAUUCAUCAAAAUACCCUCUGGAGCAGGACAUGGCUCCUACCCUCGGUCAUUUGAGCCCAUCCUUGUUGUAGGAGUGUGUGCCUUCAUAGGCUAAAGAUUGAAAGGUUGGAGAAUGCCACUGAACCGUGUCGAAGAGUGAUGUAGGAGUGGGAGCUCAUCGGGAAGAAAAUAUUCAGGCAGCAUAUAGAGAAAUAGAGGCACAACUACCAGGACCAUUUUGUUCGCAGUCUCUCUCCUUGGGUAGCUGAAUGCCCCUGAAGGCUUGGAAGGUCUUGCUAGUUAUUAUGGACCUAAAUAAGGCAAGACCAGUGGAGGAAAAGAGUUGGCCUUGGCUUUCUGACAAACCUGGUCCUGAUGAUUCAUGGCCUACAUCAGCUAGCCAAGACUUAGAUUUCGGUACCAAGGAAGGAACAGCAAAGUCAGCAACGGAAGCAAAGGAAGAUGGUGUUGGUAUUAUUGAAAAUGUGCCACCAGAGCAAACAGUUAAUGGCAGUUUGACUUCUGCUGGUGGAGUGCAUAAAAAUGACAGAAGUGGUAAGCUAGUGAAUCUCUGUGAGUUGUUUUCCUAUGAUUAAAUGCUAGUACGAGAAAAAUCUGAAA